AUUGAACGCUGGCGGCAUGCUUUACACAUGCAAGUCGAACGGUAACAGGCCUUCGGGUGCUGACGAGUGGCGAACGGGUGAGUAAUGCAUCGGAACGUACCCAGAGGUGGGGGAUAACGCAGCGAAAGCUGUGCUAAUACCGCAUGUGAUCUGAGGAUGAAAGCGGGGGACCGAGCAGCAAUGUUUGGCCUCGCGCCUUUGGAGCGGCCGAUGUCGGAUUAGCUAGUUGGUGGGGUAAAGGCCUACCAAGGCGACGAUCCGUAGCUGGUCUGAGAGGACGACCAGCCACACUGGGACUGCGACACGGCCCAGACUCCUACGGGAGGCAGCAGUGGGGAAUUUUGGACAAUGGGCGCAAGCCUGAUCCAGCAAUGCCGCGUGCGGGAAGAAGGCCUUCGGGUUGUAAACCGCUUUUGGCAGGAACGAAACGGUGUCCGCUAAUACCGGGCGCUAAUGACGGUACCUGCAGAAUAAGCACCGGCUAACUACGUG
RNAcentral lists this ribosomal RNA (492 nucleotides) under uncultured bacterium. Its description in RNAcentral is "partial 16S ribosomal RNA". It matches the Rfam family "Bacterial small subunit ribosomal RNA", at positions 29 to 507 of the family's 1533-position model. The record is from RNAcentral.